This 484-nucleotide ribosomal RNA is filed under the name Mycobacterium sp. enrichment culture clone 321. Its description in RNAcentral is "bacterial SSU rRNA". It matches the Rfam family "Bacterial small subunit ribosomal RNA", at positions 171 to 655 of the family's 1533-position model. Lineage: Bacteria; Bacillati; Actinomycetota; Actinomycetes; Mycobacteriales; Mycobacteriaceae. The record is from RNAcentral.
GGAUAGGACCACGGGAUGCAUGUCUUGUGGUGGAAAGCGCUUUAGCGGUGUGGGAUGAGCCCGCGGCCUAUCAGCUUGUUGGUGGGGUGACGGCCUACCAAGGCGACGACGGGUAGCCGGCCUGAGAGGGUGUCCGGCCACACUGGGACUGAGAUACGGCCCAGACUCCUACGGGAGGCAGCAGUGGGGAAUAUUGCACAAUGGGCGCAAGCCUGAUGCAGCGACGCCGCGUGGGGGAUGACGGCCUUCGGGUUGUAAACCUCUUUCACCAUCGACGAAGGUCCGGGUUCUCUCGGAUUGACGGUAGGUGGAGAAGAAGCACCGGCCAACUACGUGCCAGCAGCCGCGGUAAUACGUAGGGUGCGAGCGUUGUCCGGAAUUACUGGGCGUAAAGAGCUCGUAGGUGGUUUGUCGCGUUGUUCGUGAAAUCUCACGGCUUAACUGUGAGCGUGCGGGCGAUACGGGCAGACUAGAGUACUGCAGG